RNAcentral lists this ribosomal RNA (408 nucleotides) under uncultured bacterium. Its description in RNAcentral is "bacterial SSU rRNA". It matches the Rfam family "Bacterial small subunit ribosomal RNA", at positions 354 to 775 of the family's 1533-position model. The record is from RNAcentral.
AUUAGGAAUCUUGUGCAAUGGGCGCUAAGCCUGACACAGCGACGCCGCGUGGGGGAGGACGGCCUUCGGGUUGUAAACCCCUUUUGACGAGGAAGAAACAAAUGACGGUACUCGUCGAAUAAGCCCCGGCUAACUCCGUGCCAGCAGCCGCGGUAAUACGGAGGGGGCGAGCGUUGUCCGAAGUUACUGGGCGUAAAGCGCGCGUAGGCGGGAGGCCAAGUCCGCUGUGAAAGCCCGGGGCUCAACCCCGGCGGGUCGGUGGAGACUGGUCUUCUUGAAGAUGCUAGGGGGGGGUGGAAUUAUCGGUGUAGCGGUGAAAUGCGUAGAGAUCGAUAGGAACACCAGUGGCGAAGGCGGCCUCCUGGGGCACUCUUGACGCUGAGGCGCGAAAGCUGGGGGAGCGAACGG